This 479-nucleotide ribosomal RNA is filed under the name uncultured bacterium. RNAcentral's name for it is "partial 16S ribosomal RNA". It matches the Rfam family "Bacterial small subunit ribosomal RNA", at positions 30 to 502 of the family's 1533-position model. The record is from RNAcentral.
AUUGAACGCUGGCGGCAUGCUUUACACAUGCAAGUCGAACGGCAGCACGGGCUUCGGCCUGGUGGCGAGUGGCGAACGGGUGAGUAAUAUAUCGGAACGUACCCAGAAGUGGGGGAUAACGUAGCGAAAGUUACGCUAAUACCGCAUACGAUCUAUGGAUGAAAGCAGGGGACCGCAAGGCCUUGUGCUCCUGGAGCGGCCGAUAUCUGAUUAGCUAGUUGGUGAGGUAAAGGCUCACCAAGGCGACGAUCAGUAGCUGGUCUGAGAGGACGACCAGCCACACUGGAACUGAGACACGGUCCAGACUCCUACGGGAGGCAGCAGUGGGGAAUUUUGGACAAUGGGCGCAAGCCUGAUCCAGCAAUGCCGCGUGAGUGAAGAAGGCCUUCGGGUUGUAAAGCUCUUUUGUCAGGGAAGAAACGGUAGAGGCUAAUAUCCUUUGCUAAUGACGGUACCUGAAGAAUAAGCACCGGCUAACU